GAUGAACGCUGGCGGCGUGCCUAACACAUGCAAGUCGAACGAAGCUUGACGGAUGAUUUCUUCGGAAUGAAACCAGAUAUGACUUAGUGGCGGACGGGUGAGUAACACGUGAGCAACCUGCCUUUCAGAGGGGGAUAACGGCUGGAAACGGUCGCUAAUACCGCAUGAUGUGUUCGGAUGGCAUCAUCUGAACAUCAAAGAUUUAUCGCUGAAAGAUGGGCUCGCGUCUGAUUAGAUAGUUGGUGGGGUAACGGCCUACCAAGUCUACGAUCAGUAGCCGGACUGAGAGGUUGAACGGCCACAUUGGGACUGAGAUACGGCCCAGACUCCUACGAGAGGCAGCAGUGGGGAAUAUUGCACAAUGGGGGAAACCCUGAUGCAGCAACGCCGCGUGAAGGAUGACGGUUUUCGGAUUGUAAACUUCUUUUCUUAGUGACGAAGACAGUGACGGUAGCUAAGGAAUAAGCAUCGGCUAACUACGUG
This 483-nucleotide ribosomal RNA is filed under the name uncultured bacterium. Its description in RNAcentral is "partial 16S ribosomal RNA". It matches the Rfam family "Bacterial small subunit ribosomal RNA", at positions 28 to 507 of the family's 1533-position model. The record is from RNAcentral.